Molecule: transfer RNA, 75 nt
Filed under: Cordylochernes scorpioides
Lineage: Eukaryota; Metazoa; Arthropoda; Arachnida; Pseudoscorpiones; Chernetidae
Description: tRNA-Thr
Rfam family: tRNA
About the family: Transfer RNA (tRNA) molecules are approximately 80 nucleotides in length. Their secondary structure includes four short double-helical elements and three loops (D, anti-codon, and T loops).
Source: RNAcentral
GUCUAGGGUAGCCUAGUGGACAUGGCACCUGCCCGGUAAGCAGAAGUUUGUGGGUUCGAUUCCCGCUCCUGGGCA